This 465-nucleotide ribosomal RNA is filed under the name Vreelandella stevensii. RNAcentral describes it as "partial 16S ribosomal RNA". It matches the Rfam family "Bacterial small subunit ribosomal RNA", at positions 338 to 795 of the family's 1533-position model. Lineage: Bacteria; Pseudomonadati; Pseudomonadota; Gammaproteobacteria; Oceanospirillales; Halomonadaceae. The record is from RNAcentral.
CCUACGGGGGGCAGCAGUGGGGAAUAUUGGACAAUGGGGGGAACCCUGAUCCAGCCAUGCCGCGUGUGUGAAGAAGGCCCUCGGGUCGUAAAGCACUUUCAGAAAGGAAGAACGCCUGGUGGAGGAUACGCAUCAGGAAAGACAUCACUCACAGAAAAAGCACCGGCUAACUCCGUGCCAGCAGCCGCGGUAAUACGGAGGGUGCGAGCGUUAAUCGGAAUUACUGGGCGUAAAGCGCGCGUAGGUGGCUUGAUAAGCCGGUUGUGAAAGCCCCGGGCUCAACCUGGGAACGGCAUCCGGAACUGUCAAGCUAGAGUGCAGGAGAGGAAGGUAGAACUCCCGGUGUAGCGGUGAAAUGCGUAGAGAUCGGGAGGAACACCAGUGGCGAAGGCGGCCUUCUGGACUGAGACUGACACUGAGGUGCGAAAGCGUGGGUAGCAAACAGGAUUAGAUACCCUUGUAGUC